UCCCUGGUGGUCCAGUGGCUAGGACUCCGUGCUUGCAAUGCAGGAAGCCUGGGUUUGAUCCCUGAUCAGGGAA
This is a transfer RNA of Ovis aries (sheep), 73 nucleotides long. It matches the Rfam family "tRNA". Rfam says of the family: Transfer RNA (tRNA) molecules are approximately 80 nucleotides in length. Their secondary structure includes four short double-helical elements and three loops (D, anti-codon, and T loops). The record is from Rfam. NCBI's taxonomy places the organism in Eukaryota, Metazoa, Chordata, Mammalia, Artiodactyla, Bovidae.